This 353-nucleotide ribosomal RNA is filed under the name uncultured bacterium. RNAcentral describes it as "bacterial SSU rRNA". It matches the Rfam family "Bacterial small subunit ribosomal RNA", at positions 9 to 350 of the family's 1533-position model. The record is from RNAcentral.
GAGUUUGUAUCAUGGCUCAGGAUGAACGCUAGCUACAGGCUUAACACAUGCAAGUCGAGGGGAAACGACAUCGAAAGCUUGCUUUUGAUGGGCGUCGACCGGCGCACGGGUGAGUAACGCGUAUCCAACCUGCCCACCACUUGGGGAUAACCUUGCGAAAGUAAGACUAAUACCCAAUGACGUCUCUAGAAGACAUCUGAAAAGNGAUUAAAGAUUUAUCGGUGAUGGAUGGGGAUGCGUCUGAUUAGCUUGUUGGCGGGGUAACGGCCACCAAGGCGACGAUCAGUAGGGGUUCUGAGAGGAAGGUCCCCCACAUUGGAACUGAGACACGGUCCAAACUCCUACGGGAGGCA